Molecule: ribosomal RNA, 492 nt
Filed under: uncultured bacterium
Lineage: Bacteria
Description: partial 16S ribosomal RNA
Rfam family: Bacterial small subunit ribosomal RNA
Source: RNAcentral
AGUGAACGCUGGCGGUAGGCCUAACACAUGCAAGUCGAACGGCAGCACAGUAAGAGCUUGCGCUGACGGGUGGCGAGUGGCGGACUGGUGAGGAAUACAUCGGAAUCUACUUUUUCGUGGAGGAUAACGUAGGGAAACUUACGCUAAUACCGCAUACGACCUACGGGGGAAAGCAGGGGAUCUUCGGACCUUGCGCGACUGAAUGAGCCGAUGUCGGAUUAGCUAGUUGGCGGGGUAAAGGCCCACCAAGGCGACGAUCCGUAGCUGGUCUGAGAGGAUGAUCAGCCACACUGGAACUGAGACACGGUCCAGACUCCUACGGGAGGCAGCAGUGGGGAAUAUUGGACAAUGGGCGCAAGCCUGAUCCAGCCAUACCGCGUGGGUGAAGAAGGCCUUCGGGUUGUAAAGUCCUUUUGUUGGGAAAGAAAAGCAGUCGGUUAAUACCCCGCUGUUCUGACGGUACCCAAAGAAUAAGCACCGGCUAACUUCGUG